Molecule: non-coding RNA, 72 nt
Organism: Meloidogyne enterolobii
Lineage: Eukaryota; Metazoa; Nematoda; Chromadorea; Rhabditida; Meloidogynidae
Source: the annotation of a GenBank genome assembly
GCUUCUUGGUAGCUUAGUUGGUAGAGCAUCCGCCUUUGAAGGGAAGGUCGCCAGUUCGAUUACAGCUCAGCG